CCAGACUCCUACGGGAGGCAGCAGUGGGGAAUAUUGCACAAUGGGGGAAACCCUGAUGCAGCGACGCCGCGUGAGUGAAGAAGUAUCUCGGUACGUAAAGCUCUAUCAGCAGGGAAGAAAAUGACGGUACCUGACUAAGAAGCCCCGGCUAACUACGUGCCAGCAGCCGCGGUAAUACGUAGGGGGCAAGCGUUAUCCGGAUUUACUGGGUGUAAAGGGAGCGUAGACGGCAGCACAAGUCUGGAGUGAAAUCCCGGGGCUUAACCCCGGAACUGCUUUGGAAACUGUGCGGCUGGAGUGCAGGAGGGGUAAGCGGAAUUCCUAGUGUAGCGGUGAAAUGCGUAGAUAUUAGGAGGAACACCAGUGGCGAAGGCGGCUUGCUGGACAGUAACUGACGUUGAGGCUCGAAAGCGUGGGGAGCAAACAGGAUUAGAUACCCUCGUAA
Molecule: ribosomal RNA, 445 nt
Filed under: uncultured bacterium
Lineage: Bacteria
Description: bacterial SSU rRNA
Rfam family: Bacterial small subunit ribosomal RNA
Source: RNAcentral